RNAcentral lists this transfer RNA (70 nucleotides) under Phylloscopus schwarzi. RNAcentral describes it as "tRNA-Trp". It matches the Rfam family "tRNA". Rfam says of the family: Transfer RNA (tRNA) molecules are approximately 80 nucleotides in length. The record is from RNAcentral. Lineage: Eukaryota; Metazoa; Chordata; Aves; Passeriformes; Phylloscopidae.
AGAAGCUUAGGUUCACUCAAACCGAAGGCCUUCAAAGCCUUAAACAAGAGCUAAACCCUCUUAGCUUCUG